GCAAUAAUUUCUACCUACGGGGGAAGGGUGGCCAGCCACACAGGAGGGGGAUUUUUACUAAGGAGGAGAAGGAGGCCGUGCUGACAGAGAUGCAUGCUGGACAUUUUGGAGUGAAGCGCAUGAAUUCCAAAAUCAACCUACGCUUCUUCUGACAGGGAAUUGUCAAGGAGGUGGACAGCUGGGUUUGGUAAAUGGACCAACCAGACCCUCAAGACUGCCAUGGGCAAGUCCCUUGAUACCAGGAAGGGUGGGAGAACAACCUGAAGGUAAUUCUCUUUGCACACAACAGCAGACGGGAGCCGCAGCAGUUGUCUGAGAUCACUGAACCCCACCUGAUGUGGUGGAAGUUGUGGAACCAGAUCAGAACGCCUUUGAGGGCCACCUUCAAGCACGGACUGAGAAGGAUGUGGAGGUUUUUGACCAGCUAGAGGUUCUGCCCAACACCCAGAUGUGGAUCCACCUGAUGUCCUCCAUUACCAACCAUCUUCCAACUUUUCAUUACAUCAUCUACACUGUUGUUGUCAUUAUCUGCUAAGAAAAUGUCCUUGCUCUAUCAUACUGGACACAUAAUAUGUGAGAUACACAGAUGAACUAAAAACACUAGCACUGUAAACACUCAACAAAGAGAGCAGCAGUGCCUGGACUUUGCAGUCUCCCUCUUCAAGUCCCCCUUCUGAGACUGGCUGCCUGUUGAGAACAAGUGACAGGCAGAUUUCCACAAACCAGAAUUCAGUAUUUUAGUCUAUGAUUGCUAUGUAAGUGUACAGAAAAUCAGUGAAAAUAAAUUGACACAACUGUACCAAAAACGAUC
Molecule: long non-coding RNA, 811 nt
Filed under: Salmo salar (Atlantic salmon)
Lineage: Eukaryota; Metazoa; Chordata; Actinopteri; Salmoniformes; Salmonidae
Description: lncRNA (ENSSSAG00000103146.1, ENSSSAG00075056918.1)
Source: RNAcentral